GGGUUGUGAGGUUAAGCGACUAAGCGUACACGGUGGAUGCCCUGGCAGUCAGAGGCGAUGAAGGACGUGCUAAUCUGCGAUAAGCGUCGGUAAGGUGAUAUGAACCGUUAUAACCGGCGAUUUCCGAAUGGGGAAACCCAGUGUGAUUCGUCACACUAUCAUUAACUGAAUCCAUAGGUUAAUGAGGCGAACCGGGGGAACUGAAACAUCUAAGUACCCCGAGGAAAAGAAAUCAACCGAGAUUCCCCCAGUAGCGGCGAGCGAACGGGGAGCAGCCCAGAGCCUGAAUCAGUGUGUGUGUUAGUGGAAGCGUCUGGAAAGGCGCGCGAUACAGGGUGACAGCCCCGUACACAAAAAUGCACAUGCUGUGAGCUCGAUGAGUAGGGCGGGACACGUGGUAUCCUGUCUGAAUAUGGGGGGACCAUCCUCCAAGGCUAAAUACUCCUGACUGACCGAUAGUGAACCAGUACCGUGAGGGAAAGGCGAAAAGAACCCCGGCGAGGGGAGUGAAAAAGAACCUGAAACCGUGUACGUACAAGCAGUGGGAGCACGCUUAGGCGUGUGACUGCGUACCUUUUGUAUAAUGGGUCAGCGACUUAUAUUCUGUAGCAAGGUUAACCGAAUAGGGGAGCCGAAGGGAAACCGAGUCUUAACUGGGCGUUAAGUUGCAGGGUAUAGACCCGAAACCCGGUGAUCUAGCCAUGGGCAGGUUGAAGGUUGGGUAACACUAACUGGAGGACCGAACCGACUAAUGUUGAAAAAUUAGCGGAUGACUUGUGGCUGGGGGUGAAAGGCCAAUCAAACCGGGAGAUAGCUGGUUCUCCCCGAAAGCUAUUUAGGUAGCGCCUCGUGAAUUCAUCUCCGGGGGUAGAGCACUGUUUCGGCAAGGGGGUCAUCCCGACUUACCAACCCGAUGCAAACUGCGAAUACCGGAGAAUGUUAUCACGGGAGACACACGGCGGGUGCUAACGUCCGUCGUGAAGAGGGAAACAACCCAGACCGCCAGCUAAGGUCCCAAAGUCAUGGUUAAGUGGGAAACGAUGUGGGAAGGCCCAGACAGCCAGGAUGUUGGCUUAGAAGCAGCCAUCAUUUAAAGAAAGCGUAAUAGCUCACUGGUCGAGUCGGCCUGCGCGGAAGAUGUAACGGGGCUAAACCAUGCACCGAAGCUGCGGCAGCGACGCUUAUGCGUUGUUGGGUAGGGGAGCGUUCUGUAAGCCUGUGAAGGUGUGCUGUGAGGCAUGCUGGAGGUAUCAGAAGUGCGAAUGCUGACAUAAGUAACGAUAAAGCGGGUGAAAAGCCCGCUCGCCGGAAGACCAAGGGUUCCUGUCCAACGUUAAUCGGGGCAGGGUGAGUCGACCCCUAAGGCGAGGCCGAAAGGCGUAGUCGAUGGGAAACAGGUUAAUAUUCCUGUACUUGGUGUUACUGCGAAGGGGGGACGGAGAAGGCUAUGUUGGCCGGGCGACGGUUGUCCCGGUUUAAGCGUGUAGGCUGGUUUUCCAGGCAAAUCCGGAAAAUCAAGGCUGAGGCGUGAUGACGAGGCACUACGGUGCUGAAGCAACAAAUGCCCUGCUUCCAGGAAAAGCCUCUAAGCAUCAGGUAACAUCAAAUCGUACCCCAAACCGACACAGGUGGUCAGGUAGAGAAUACCAAGGCGCUUGAGAGAACUCGGGUGAAGGAACUAGGCAAAAUGGUGCCGUAACUUCGGGAGAAGGCACGCUGAUAUGUAGGUGAAGCGACUUGCUCGUGGAGCUGAAAUCAGUCGAAGAUACCAGCUGGCUGCAACUGUUUAUUAAAAACACAGCACUGUGCAAACACGAAAGUGGACGUAUACGGUGUGACGCCUGCCCGGUGCCGGAAGGUUAAUUGAUGGGGUCAGCGCAAGCGAAGCUCUUGAUCGAAGCCCCGGUAAACGGCGGCCGUAACUAUAACGGUCCUAAGGUAGCGAAAUUCCUUGUCGGGUAAGUUCCGACCUGCACGAAUGGCGUAAUGAUGGCCAGGCUGUCUCCACCCGAGACUCAGUGAAAUUGAACUCGCUGUGAAGAUGCAGUGUACCCGCGGCAAGACGGAAAGACCCCGUGAACCUUUACUAUAGCUUGACACUGAACAUUGAGCCUUGAUGUGUAGGAUAGGUGGGAGGCUUUGAAGUGUGGACGCCAGUCUGCAUGGAGCCGACCUUGAAAUACCACCCUUUAAUGUUUGAUGUUCUAACGUUGACCCGUAAUCCGGGUUGCGGACAGUGUCUGGUGGGUAGUUUGACUGGGGCGGUCUCCUCCUAAAGAGUAACGGAGGAGCACGAAGGUUGGCUAAUCCUGGUCGGACAUCAGGAGGUUAGUGCAAUGGCAUAAGCCAGCUUGACUGCGAGCGUGACGGCGCGAGCAGGUGCGAAAGCAGGUCAUAGUGAUCCGGUGGUUCUGAAUGGAAGGGCCAUCGCUCAACGGAUAAAAGGUACUCCGGGGAUAACAGGCUGAUACCGCCCAAGAGUUCAUAUCGACGGCGGUGUUUGGCACCUCGAUGUCGGCUCAUCACAUCCUGGGGCUGAAGUAGGUCCCAAGGGUAUGGCUGUUCGCCAUUUAAAGUGGUACGCGAGCUGGGUUUAGAACGUCGUGAGACAGUUCGGUCCCUAUCUGCCGUGGGCGCUGGAGAACUGAGGGGGGCUGCUCCUAGUACGAGAGGACCGGAGUGGACGCAUCACUGGUGUUCGGGUUGUCAUGCCAAUGGCACUGCCCGGUAGCUAAAUGCGGAAGAGAUAAGUGCUGAAAGCAUCUAAGCACGAAACUUGCCCCGAGAUGAGUUCUCCCUGAC
Molecule: ribosomal RNA, 2802 nt
Filed under: Escherichia coli
Lineage: Bacteria; Pseudomonadati; Pseudomonadota; Gammaproteobacteria; Enterobacterales; Enterobacteriaceae
Description: partial 23S ribosomal RNA
Rfam family: Bacterial large subunit ribosomal RNA
Source: RNAcentral